RNAcentral lists this ribosomal RNA (557 nucleotides) under Pseudoalteromonas sp. DJJH7. Its description in RNAcentral is "bacterial SSU rRNA". It matches the Rfam family "Bacterial small subunit ribosomal RNA", at positions 373 to 923 of the family's 1533-position model. The record is from RNAcentral. Lineage: Bacteria; Pseudomonadati; Pseudomonadota; Gammaproteobacteria; Alteromonadales; Pseudoalteromonadaceae.
GGGCGCAAGCCUGAUGCAGCCAUGCCGCGUGUGUGAAGAAGGCCUUCGGGUUGUAAAGCACUUUCAGUCAGGAGGAAAGGUUAGUAGUUAAUACCUGCUAGCUGUGACGUUACUGACAGAAGAAGCACCGGCUAACUCCGUGCCAGCAGCCGCGGUAAUACGGAGGGUGCGAGCGUUAAUCGGAAUUACUGGGCGUAAAGCGUACGCAGGCGGUUUGUUAAGCGAGAUGUGAAAGCCCCGGGCUCAACCUGGGAACUGCAUUUCGAACUGGCAAACUAGAGUGUGAUAGAGGGUGGUAGAAUUUCAGGUGUAGCGGUGAAAUGCGUAGAGAUCUGAAGGAAUACCGAUGGCGAAGGCAGCCACCUGGGUCAACACUGACGCUCAUGUACGAAAGCGUGGGGAGCAAACAGGAUUAGAUACCCUGGUAGUCCACGCCGUAAACGAUGUCUACUAGAAGCUCGGAACCUCGGUUCUGUUUUUCAAAGCUAACGCAUUAAGUAUACCGCCUGGGGAGUACGGCCGCAAGGUUAAAACUCAAAUGAAUUGACGGGGGCCCG